GAUGAACGCUGGCGGCGUGCCUAAUACAUGCAAGUCGAGCGAACGGACGAGAAGCUUGCUUCUCUGAUGUUAGCGGCGGACGGGUGAGUAACACGUGGAUAGCCUACCUAUAAGACUGGGAUAACUUCGGGAAACCGUAGCUAAUACCGGAUAAUAUUUUGAACCGCAUGGUUCAAAAGUGAAAGACGGUCUUGCUGUCACUUAUAGAUGGAUCCGCGCUGCAUUAGCUAGUUGGUAAGGUAACGGCUUACCAAGGCAACGAUGCAUAGCCGACCUGAGAGGGUGAUCGGCCACACUGGAACUGAGACACGGUCCAGACUCCUACGGGAGGCAGCAGUAGGGAAUCUUCCGCAAAGGGCGAAAGCCUGACGGAGCAACGCCGCGUGAGUGAUGAAGGUCUUCGGAUCGUAAAACUCUGUUAUUAGGGAAGAACAUAUGUGUAAGUAACUGUGCACAUCUUGACGGUACCUAAUCAGAAAGCCACGGCUAACUACGUG
This 497-nucleotide ribosomal RNA is filed under the name uncultured bacterium. RNAcentral's name for it is "partial 16S ribosomal RNA". It matches the Rfam family "Bacterial small subunit ribosomal RNA", at positions 28 to 507 of the family's 1533-position model. The record is from RNAcentral.